AAGUAAAUAUUCAAUCACUAUGCUCUAAAGUUAGGGGGCGCUGAACCAUCAUUCCACACUUUAACAUGGCGAGCGGCGGUGAAGUCAGGCUACAGUACGAGGAGGCGCCGGCGUCUUUCAAAUCCGUGGUGUGGAGACAUUUCGGUUUUGCCGUUGAGUAUGAUGCCGAGGAAGAAAAAACGAUCGGAUUCAUCAUGUAUGAUGCAUUCAUCAGUAUGGAGACGAAGCUGGCCAUAGGGGUCUGUGCAGAGGACUUGUCUGGCUCUUGUGGUCUUUGCUGAAGAUCUGUGCCGAUGGUUGUUGUUUCGACGAGGCCUUCACAGGGGAUUGUCUAGUUGACAGGAUCUCUGCUGACAUUCAGAUGGUUCUGCAGCACGUGUGGGGCUGAUUCUGAGUCAGUAUCUGAGUGGGUGGACAUCAGCCUACCUGCAGCCCAGGAUGUUGGCCUCACGCUGAGGAGAUCUGUAGAUGCUGUGAACCGUUUGCCAGUCAUCAGUGUUCAAGUUAGUGCAUCAUUAUCCCUUCAAAUAGCCCUGCUAAUGCGAAGCAAAGUGGGGCUCUCCCACACUGCCUGUAAAGCUAGCGGUUUGCCCAACACUGCUGGGAAGAGGAUUUGGGGUCUCGCUGGCUCAGUGCGACACAGUGAUCAUGAUGAAAAACAAAGAAACUCUUAGUCACAUAACCCAUUAAAUGAAAACCAGUGGAGAGAGCUGUGCCUUUG
Megalobrama amblycephala (Wuchang bream) is the source of this 721-nucleotide long non-coding RNA. RefSeq lists it as uncharacterized. Lineage: Eukaryota; Metazoa; Chordata; Actinopteri; Cypriniformes; Xenocyprididae. The transcript has 3 exons. The record is from RefSeq and is a predicted model, not a curated record.